RNAcentral lists this unclassified non-coding RNA (269 nucleotides) under plant metagenome. RNAcentral's name for it is "partial contains small subunit ribosomal RNA, internal transcribed spacer 1, and 5.8S ribosomal RNA". The record is from RNAcentral.
UUUCCGUGGGUGAACCUGCGGAAGGAUCAUUAAUGAGUUGUCAUGGGGUUCGAUGCUGGCAGCCAAUUUUUGGAUGCAUGUGCUUGCCCUAACAAUCAUCUUCCAAACACCUGUGCACAUUUUUGAGGGAGUCUUGAGUUGGUUGCCGCUCUUGGGUGAUUUUCUCACAUUCCCUUAAAUCAUUAUACGCUAUUAACAAUGUUGAACGUGCUCUGUGCCGCAAGGCUAUUAAUAUAAUACAACUUUUAACAACGGAUCUCUUGGCUCUC